GCCUUCGUGGUGUAGUGGUCAGCACGCUCGACGCGUAUUCGAGAGGUCCGUGGUUCGAGUCCCGGUAAGGACC
RNAcentral lists this transfer RNA (73 nucleotides) under Stegodyphus mimosarum. It matches the Rfam family "tRNA". Rfam says of the family: Transfer RNA (tRNA) molecules are approximately 80 nucleotides in length. Lineage: Eukaryota; Metazoa; Arthropoda; Arachnida; Araneae; Eresidae. The record is from Rfam by way of RNAcentral.